GGGGUUGUGGCUCAGUGGUAGAGUGCUCCUGUAGCAUAUAGGAGGCACUGGGUUCGAUCCUCAGCACCACA
RNAcentral lists this transfer RNA (71 nucleotides) under Marmota monax (woodchuck). Its description in RNAcentral is "tRNA.Ala". Lineage: Eukaryota; Metazoa; Chordata; Mammalia; Rodentia; Sciuridae. The record is from RNAcentral.